AUUGAACGCUGGCGGCAUGCCUUACACAUGCAAGUCGAACGGCAGCACGGGAGCAAUCCUGGUGGCGAGUGGCGAACGGGUGAGUAAAGUAUCGGAACGUGCCCAGUCGUGGGGGAUAACGUAGCGAAAGUUACGCUAAUACCGCAUACGAUCUAUGGAUGAAAGCGGGGGAUCGCAAGACCUCGCGCGAUUGGAGCGGCCGAUAUCAGAUUAGGGAGUUGGUGGGGUAAAGGCUCACCAAGCCGACGAUCCGUAGCCGGUCUGGAGGGACCAACAGCCACACUGGGACUUGGACCCGGCCCAGACUCCUACGGGAGGCAACAGUGGGGAAUUUUGGACAAUGGGCGAAAGCCUGAUCCAGCCAUGCCGCGUGCAGGAUGAAGGCCUUCGGGUUGUAAACUGCUUUUGUACGGAACGAAAAGGUUUGGCCUAAUAAGCUGAGCUCAUGACGGUACCGUAAGAAUAAGCACCGGCUAACUACGUGCCAGCCGCCGCGGUAA
This 500-nucleotide ribosomal RNA is filed under the name uncultured bacterium. RNAcentral's name for it is "partial 16S ribosomal RNA". It matches the Rfam family "Bacterial small subunit ribosomal RNA", at positions 30 to 523 of the family's 1533-position model. The record is from RNAcentral.